RNAcentral lists this ribosomal RNA (1378 nucleotides) under Lactiplantibacillus plantarum. Its description in RNAcentral is "bacterial SSU rRNA". It matches the Rfam family "Bacterial small subunit ribosomal RNA", at positions 25 to 1369 of the family's 1533-position model. Lineage: Bacteria; Bacillati; Bacillota; Bacilli; Lactobacillales; Lactobacillaceae. The record is from RNAcentral.
CAGGACGAACGCUGGCGGCGUGCCUAAUACAUGCAAGUCGAACGAACUCUGGUAUUGAUUGGUGCUUGCAUCAUGAUUUACAUUUGAGUGAGUGGCGAACUGGUGAGUAACACGUGGGAAACCUGCCCAGAAGCGGGGGAUAACACCUGGAAACAGAUGCUAAUACCGCAUAACAACUUGGACCGCAUGGUCCGAGCUUGAAAGAUGGCUUCGGCUAUCACUUUUGGAUGGUCCCGCGGCGUAUUAGCUAGAUGGUGGGGUAACGGCUCACCAUGGCAAUGAUACGUAGCCGACCUGAGAGGGUAAUCGGCCACAUUGGGACUGAGACACGGCCCAAACUCCUACGGGAGGCAGCAGUAGGGAAUCUUCCACAAUGGACGAAAGUCUGAUGGAGCAACGCCGCGUGAGUGAAGAAGGGUUUCGGCUCGUAAAACUCUGUUGUUAAAGAAGAACAUAUCUGAGAGUAACUGUUCAGGUAUUGACGGUAUUUAACCAGAAAGCCACGGCUAACUACGUGCCAGCAGCCGCGGUAAUACGUAGGUGGCAAGCGUUGUCCGGAUUUAUUGGGCGUAAAGCGAGCGCAGGCGGUUUUUUAAGUCUGAUGUGAAAGCCUUCGGCUCAACCGAAGAAGUGCAUCGGAAACUGGGAAACUUGAGUGCAGAAGAGGACAGUGGAACUCCAUGUGUAGCGGUGAAAUGCGUAGAUAUAUGGAAGAACACCAGUGGCGAAGGCGGCUGUCUGGUCUGUAACUGACGCUGAGGCUCGAAAGUAUGGGUAGCAAACAGGAUUAGAUACCCUGGUAGUCCAUACCGUAAACGAUGAAUGCUAAGUGUUGGAGGGUUUCCGCCCUUCAGUGCUGCAGCUAACGCAUUAAGCAUUCCGCCUGGGGAGUACGGCCGCAAGGCUGAAACUCAAAGGAAUUGACGGGGGCCCGCACAAGCGGUGGAGCAUGUGGUUUAAUUCGAAGCUACGCGAAGAACCUUACCAGGUCUUGACAUACUAUGCAAAUCUAAGAGAUUAGACGUUCCCUUCGGGGACAUGGAUACAGGUGGUGCAUGGUUGUCGUCAGCUCGUGUCGUGAGAUGUUGGGUUAAGUCCCGCAACGAGCGCAACCCUUAUUAUCAGUUGCCAGCAUUAAGUUGGGCACUCUGGUGAGACUGCCGGUGACAAACCGGAGGAAGGUGGGGAUGACGUCAAAUCAUCAUGCCCCUUAUGACCUGGGCUACACACGUGCUACAAUGGAUGGUACAACGAGUUGCGAACUCGCGAGAGUAAGCUAAUCUCUUAAAGCCAUUCUCAGUUCGGAUUGUAGGCUGCAACUCGCCUACAUGAAGUCGGAAUCGCUAGUAAUCGCGGAUCAGCAUGCCGGGUGGAAUAC